UACGUAGGUGGCAAGCGUUGUCCGGAUUUAUUGGGCGUAAAGCGAGCGCAGGCGGUUUCUUAAGUCUGAUGUGAAAGCCCCCGGCUUAACCGGGGAGGGUCAUUGGAAACUGAGAAACUUGAGUGCAGAAGAGGAGAGUGGAAUUCCAUGUGUAGCGGUGAAAUGCGUAGAUAUAUGGAGGAACACCAGUGGCGAAGGCGACUCUCUGGUCUGUAACUGACGCUGAGGCUCGAAAGCGUGGGGAGCAAACAGG
RNAcentral lists this ribosomal RNA (253 nucleotides) under uncultured bacterium. RNAcentral describes it as "partial 16S ribosomal RNA". It matches the Rfam family "Bacterial small subunit ribosomal RNA", at positions 524 to 776 of the family's 1533-position model. The record is from RNAcentral.